This 289-nucleotide long non-coding RNA is filed under the name Triticum aestivum (bread wheat). Its description in RNAcentral is "long non-coding RNA (TAES_LNC002206)". The record is from RNAcentral. Lineage: Eukaryota; Viridiplantae; Streptophyta; Magnoliopsida; Poales; Poaceae.
UCAACAUCAGAUCAGCUGGGAUAGAUUUCAGGUGAAAAAGGGGGAGCAUUGCGCACAUCUGGAGCCACAAAGAUGGUUCAUCAUUCAUAAAGCUCUCUCAAUUCUCACACUGAGAUGUUACACACUACCACUACUACUAGGAUAACCGCUACUACUACUACUUGGUAACAUCACAGCUGCUACUAGGCAAGAAGAAAGAACAAAGCCGCUAAAGCUGGCGCGAAGAACAGCAGCUGCUGCUGCUGCAGCUGCAUCAUCAUCGUUCAUUCAUUCGUUAUUCAACAACUAA